CCACAGCCAUUUUAUGGAGUUCACAUUUUUUCUGACAGAGGAAGAGUCCUUCUGUAGAUGAAAGACUUCAUUUUUCAUGUCUUAACCCAUGGGAUUCUAUGCUGAAAAUUAAUUCGAGGCGUGUAAGGAAUAAGGGACGCCAAGAGUUGGUAUCCCAUGGGAUGCCCCCUUAUUCCCUAUAAAAAGGGGUCACUAUUCCUUGUUUUGAUGUCUCCUUUUUGGCUGUGUUUAGGCAUGAGAAUG
This 243-nucleotide long non-coding RNA is filed under the name Elaeis guineensis (African oil palm). RNAcentral's name for it is "long non-coding RNA (EGUI_LNC078754)". The record is from RNAcentral. Lineage: Eukaryota; Viridiplantae; Streptophyta; Magnoliopsida; Arecales; Arecaceae.